This 253-nucleotide ribosomal RNA is filed under the name uncultured bacterium. RNAcentral describes it as "partial 16S ribosomal RNA". It matches the Rfam family "Bacterial small subunit ribosomal RNA", at positions 524 to 776 of the family's 1533-position model. The record is from RNAcentral.
UACGUAGGGUGCAAGCGUUGUCCGGAAUUAUUGGGCGUAAAGAGCUCGUAGGCGGUCUGUCACGUCGGAUGUGAAAACUCGGGGCUCAACUCCGAGCCUGCAUUCGAUACGGGCAGUCUUGAGUUCGGCAGGGGAGACUGGAAUUCCUGGUGUAGCGGUGAAAUGCGCAGAUAUCAGGAGGAACACCGGUGGCGAAGGCGGGUCUCUGGACAGUUCCUGACACUGAGGCACGAAGGCCAGGGGAGCAAACGGG